This 55-nucleotide small RNA is filed under the name Vibrio cholerae O1 biovar El Tor str. N16961. The record is from RNAcentral. Lineage: Bacteria; Pseudomonadati; Pseudomonadota; Gammaproteobacteria; Vibrionales; Vibrionaceae.
GUGAAUCCCCAUGAGCAUAGAUACACUAUGUGAUUGGGGUGAACGAAUGCAGCCA